This is a long non-coding RNA of Musca domestica (house fly), 752 nucleotides long. RefSeq lists it as uncharacterized. The record is from RefSeq and is a predicted model, not a curated record. The transcript is spliced from 2 exons. Lineage: Eukaryota; Metazoa; Arthropoda; Insecta; Diptera; Muscidae.
UAUAAUAAAAUUCAGAAAUUAAUUAAUAAUUUAUGUUCAACCAUAUUCUUCCUUUUUUCAAAAUCAAGUUGGCCAAUGCUUUCAAGUCAUCGUCGCUUUCUGGAAAUUCGAAAUAAAAUAUUUUCAUUCAAAUUCAAAUUUUCAUAUUCUCCAACAAUUGAAAGGACCUCUUAUCGAUAACAAGUCUUCAAUUUGUUCAAAAUUCAUGGCAUAUGGAAAGCAAAUAGAGCGAUAUCACCUCCAGCAAAAUGAGCUGCAAAUGCAUUGAAGCGCAGCCAAAUCAUCCUCGUCAUCAUCGCUGCUGUUUACAAAUGUGCAACAUUAUUACAAAGGCGGAUUGAACACCAAAAAAAUACCAAAAACAAAACAAAAUUUGAGAGAGGAUUUUCAAAGAAUAACCGCAAUGUGUAUCAUUUCUGUUACAAAGGACUCUUCUUCGAGUAUUGAAACUAUCAUUUCGAAAAUUUUGAUGUAUAGAACGAGUCAUUGAGGCCAUAUAUGAACAUACAAUUCCAUAGAAGUCUUAUACAAAAAUAUAAAAUUCCAAUAAUCUGUGCAGUAGAUAUGUUACAAUUUUUGACUCAAGAUAUUGGUAAUUUUUCCAUGAAAAACCUGGCAUAAUUAAAUAAGACUUGUGUGCAAAAUGUAAAUGUUCAGAAAAAUUGUUCUCUCCAAUGUCAUUAUUUGAUCGACAUCGGAAAAGACUUGGAAAAUAAAAAAUAAACGUCACGAUAGCUUCCGAACAAAGUGAA